UUUCCCUGGAGAUGCUUUCGGCGUCCCCUCUCUCCGCGCCGGCGCAGCCAGGCCUCGGAAUCACUAACAGAGGAGGGGGCGGCGCCGACGCCCAGCACCUGCCGCCGGUGGGGGACUCACUUCGGUGGAAGGGAAAACUGAAGUUGUUUCACUGGGCGAGUGCACCGAGGCUGAAGUCUAUAAGCCUGGAGAGACUAUCAGCAGUAAUCUGCAAAUGCUGGAGCUCACAUGGAAACUGAGAAUGCUGUCUGACCAACACCAGGAAAAUGAUACAACUCACAUUAACAAAGACCAAAAGGCUUUCUUUACAGGUAUUUAAUUUAAUGUAAGUACCGCAAACCCUGCUUGAACUUAUAAGGCA
This 361-nucleotide long non-coding RNA is filed under the name Piliocolobus tephrosceles (Ugandan red Colobus). Its description in RNAcentral is "lncRNA (ENSPTEG00000000986.1)". The record is from RNAcentral. Lineage: Eukaryota; Metazoa; Chordata; Mammalia; Primates; Cercopithecidae.